RNA transcript from Armigeres subalbatus, 1325 nucleotides. RefSeq lists it as uncharacterized. The transcript is spliced from 7 exons. Lineage: Eukaryota; Metazoa; Arthropoda; Insecta; Diptera; Culicidae. The record is from RefSeq and is a predicted model, not a curated record.
GUUAGCAACAGCUCCAUCGUUACGACUGAUCCAUAUCCACGGUAUCCACAUCACAGUUUGUGUCCUUGUCGCGGUGAUCAGCAGUGAGAUAUAUUCAAAACACCGGGUCUACGUUGAUAGGAUUGUCGUGGAUGUUUAUUACCAGUGAAUUGAACCGGAAGCCUCUACUCGUUUUCGUUUAUACGCUAGAAAGCAUUGUGUCCAAAGUGUAUGUGAUUAUGACCUUGUUGACUGUGGAUUUUCAUGAUCAAUUUUCGCAACGCAGCUGUCGUGUGAAUGAAGGAAUUGACGACCUGCAAACUUUCCUCGAACUAGACAGCGAUGAUUUUGCACGUCUUAAGCUUCGCACCAAGGACAUCAAGUUCAUACAACGUGUGCAGAAGGAAUUUUACGAUGAUCCAGUACUUGAAGAAAGACUUGAGGAGUGUGACGAGGAUGUCCGAGAUAAAGUUCCAAGCUCUGUAGAAGAACCUGACGAGACACAGUACGAGGAAACAACGCCGGAUGGUAGUAAUGAAUUGUUCUAGAAACAAUCAUUGACGUAAACGUUAUUUUCAAACGCACUCCAAAUGGUAGAGAAGUCAUCGAGCUACUAAAGGAAGGACUCAAACCGAAUGACAGCUGUAUGAGUGCAAUAAAACGGAUUCUAUGUGAUUACCUUAAAUCAGCAUUUGGAUUGCGUCCGUCGGCUUACCACAAAAACUUGCUCGCUAAGAGUCUUGCCCACACUUAUCCGGCACUGUCGUCAACAACAUUGGAUGUGCCGCAAGCUUUGUGGUUCCAUCCCAAUGGCCGGGGUGAACAUCGCCACAGUGGACGCUUGCAUUACCAUAUGGAAUACUUAGCAAGGACCUCAGGCAAUCGUAUCAUCAACCGACGUAAACUGCAAGUCGAGGAGAUCAAAAUUGAAGAAAAUGAUUCCGGAAUAUGUUCAGCACAAGACAUUGACCUGGACGCAGUGACUCAAGAACUAAAAUUCCUUUGUCCAGGACCGUAUACGAAACUACGCGCAGAUGAACUUUGGCAUCUAACCUUCCAUGAACGUCAGGAUUUACGCCUAAAAAAACAUUCUUCACCUAUCUUGAGACGUAUCCGGUUGCAACCGCAUUUAAUGGUUGUAUGAUUUUGUUGGAAUUUCGUACAAUGCAUCCGAACGCACCUGACUUCUCAAAAAACUCGAUGAUUUGCAACCAAAACUAUUAUCGCGCUAUUGCGAGCUCUUCAAAUACGUGAAAGAUGAUUUUAUUCGAAUGCUCAUGAUCGUGCGGCAGAAAAGUCCAAGCCGUGGAGCAAAGCGAACUCGAGAUGCAGAUUCAACGAAAGAU